RNAcentral lists this ribosomal RNA (886 nucleotides) under uncultured Actinomycetes bacterium. RNAcentral describes it as "bacterial SSU rRNA". It matches the Rfam family "Bacterial small subunit ribosomal RNA", at positions 512 to 1402 of the family's 1533-position model. The record is from RNAcentral. Lineage: Bacteria; Bacillati; Actinomycetota; Actinomycetes.
CCGCCGCGGUAAUACGAAGGGGGCUAGCGUUGCUNGGAANNACGGGGCGUAAAGGGAGCGUAGGCGGACAUUUAAGUCAGGGGUGAAAUCCCAGAGCUCAACUCUGGAACUGCCUUUGAUACUGGGUGUCUUGAGUGUGAGAGAGGUAUGUGGAACUCCGAGUGUAGAGGUGAAAUUCGUAGAUAUUCGGAAGAACACCAGUGGCGAAGGCGACAUACUGGCUCAUUACUGACGCUGAGGCUCGAAAGCGUGGGGAGCAAACAGGAUUAGAUACCCUGGUAGUCCACGCCGUAAACGUUGGGCACUAGGUGUGGGGGACAUUCCACGUUUUCCGCGCCGUAGCUAACGCAUUAAGUGCCCCGCCUGGGGAGUACGAUCGCAAGAUUAAAACUCAAAGGAAUUGACGGGGCCCCGCACAAGCAGCGGAGCAUGCGGCUUAAUUCGACGCAACGCGAAGAACCUUACCAAGGCUUGACAUAUACCGGAAUAUGGCAGAAAUGUCAUAGCUGUAAAAGGUCGGUAUACAGGUGGUGCAUGGUUGUCGUCAGCUCGUGUCGUGAGAUGUUGGGUUAAGUCCCGCAACGAGCGCAACCCUCGUUCUGUGUUGCCAGCAUUUAGUUGGGGACUCACAGGAGACUGCCGGGGUCAACUCGGAGGAAGGUGGGGAUGACGUCAAAUCAUCAUGCCCCUUAUGUCUUGGGCUGCACGCAUGCUACAAUGGCUGGUACAAAGGGCUGCGAUACCGCANUNUGGAGCGAAUCCCAAAAAGCCAGUCUCAGUUCGGAUUGGGGUCUGCAACUCGACCCCAUGAAGUCGGAGUCCUCUAUCGCAGAUCAGCAACGCUGCGGUGAAUACGCCGCUCUCUUGUACACACCGCCCGUCAAAC